This is a long non-coding RNA of Malus domestica (apple), 680 nucleotides long. RefSeq lists it as uncharacterized. Lineage: Eukaryota; Viridiplantae; Streptophyta; Magnoliopsida; Rosales; Rosaceae. The record is from RefSeq and is a predicted model, not a curated record.
UUCCCUCGUCCCCGGUAACACAGCACCCAGCGCCUUCAAGUUUCAGAUUCCAGCCGAAACAUCAACGUCAACACCCGUUAAACUAUUGGAUUAAGCACUAUUCGGCCUUCUCCUUCUCUGAGCUACUUUGCUACGUACAAACGCCAACUCUCACUCCACAGCCCUCCAAUCACAGCUCCGGCAAAUGGGUUUUCUCCCUUCAGACGAAUUUUCAACUCUUACCUCCAAUCAUAUUCUGCAACUACGGGUGCUGGCUCACCUUGUGAGCAAUCAGGAAUCAUAUUUAUAGGUACUGGUACUAGUGAAGGAAUUCCCCGAGUCAGCUGCCUGACAAAUCCUUUAAAGAUGUGCGAGGAAUUAUAACAUACUUAUAGAUGCUGGAAAGUUUUUCUAUUCUACCACAGUGCUCUCCAAUGGUUUACUGCCUACGGGAAACUUCAAGAUCAAACUUUCAGACGUUGAUAUUGAGGACUGAUUUCUUGUGGUCUAUGAAAGUUUGGUGUUUUGGUACUGUAAUACCACUCUCAUGUAUUCCCUAGAUAUUGAGGACUGAUUUCUUGUGGUAUAUAAAUAAUUGUAUUAGUUUUUUAUAUACAAAAGAAUUGUAUUAUUAAUUAUUUAAAUAAAAUUUAUAUAUAUUUUGUACAAGGAUAUUUUAGUUAUCAAACUAGUUUUGAUUC